CAAGUCGAACGAAUCCCCGGGAGCUUGCUCUCGGGGGGAAGUGGCGAACGGGGCAGUAAGGCGUGGGUAACCUACCCCGGGGACCGGGAUAGCCACCCUAACGGGUGGGUAAUACCGGGCGAUGUGACUGGGGGGCAUCCCUCGGGCACGAAAUGAGUUUCGCCUCGGGAGGGGCUCACGUGGUAUUAGCUUGUUGGUGGGGUAACGGCCUACCAAGGCUGAGAUGCCUAGCAGGUGUGAGAGCACGACCUGCGCCACUGGCACUGCGACACUGGCCAGACUCCUACGGGAGGCUGCAGUCGAGGAUCUUCGGCAAUGGGCGCAAGCCUGACCGAGCGACGCCGCGUGUGCGAUGAAGGCCUUCGGGUUGUAAAGCACUGUCGAGGGGGAGGAAAGCCCGCAAGGGCCUGACCUACCCCUGGAGGAAGCACGGGCUAAGUUCGUGCCAGCAGCCGCGGUAAGACGAACCGUGCGAACGUUGUUCGGAUUCACUGGGCUUAAAGGGCGCGUAGGCGGGCGACCAAGUCGGGGGUGAAAUCUUUCGGCUCAACCGGAAGAGUGCCUUCGAUACUGGUCGCCUCGAGGGAGGUAGGGGCAUGCGGAACUUCCGGUGGAGCGGUGAAAUGCGUAGAUAUCGGAAGGAACGCCGGUGGCGAAAGCGGCGUGCUGGACCUCUUCUGACGCUGAGGCGCGAAAGCCAGGGGAGCGAACGGGAUUAGAUACCCCGGUAGUCCUGGCCCUAAACGAUGGGUACUAGGUAGUGGACUUGACAUGGGUUCACUGCCGAAAGCAAAAGUUUUUAAGUACCCCGCCCUGGGGAGUAUGGU
RNAcentral lists this ribosomal RNA (827 nucleotides) under uncultured Planctomycetota bacterium. Its description in RNAcentral is "bacterial SSU rRNA". It matches the Rfam family "Bacterial small subunit ribosomal RNA", at positions 58 to 886 of the family's 1533-position model. Lineage: Bacteria; Pseudomonadati; Planctomycetota. The record is from RNAcentral.